Molecule: long non-coding RNA, 1255 nt
Organism: Limulus polyphemus (Atlantic horseshoe crab)
Lineage: Eukaryota; Metazoa; Arthropoda; Merostomata; Xiphosura; Limulidae
Exons: 2
Source: RefSeq, a predicted model, not a curated record
CUAGUAAAGUCUGGUGUGUAUAUAUACAAAACAAAGUCGGGCUACUCCAUGGCCCACACAUCACUCACGUGAACCGAAGGCCACUCUCGAUUUAGCCUAAAGGUUGGGGAUGUUUUUGAUUCGCCCACAGAAAACACAGGUAUGUUGGGACAGUUGUCUUGCCUUUAAUGAUUUAAGAGUAACGUUAUUCCAUGUACAACUAAUAGGGAUAAAGAAAGUUGAUCCACUUUCCAGAUCGUAAGCAAAGCUUGAAGAAAACGGGAAUUUUGUAGACAAUAAUUACACAUCAAGUAAAGGGGCUGAAUAUAUGUGGUGUCUUUCCUUCCUAAUUAUCACCUAGCGGUGAGUAAGAUAAAUAUUUUGUGGAACCCUCGGUAGGACCAAUCUAACAAAAUACAGGAAUAAAAGAUAUAGAGAAUUCGGAAAUAACGACAGACUGCUGUCGUGGUAUGGAAAGAAAAGUUUCCUAACAUCAUUUUUAUUUGAUAAAAGAAUGUUUAUAAACUAUUCACGAUACAUGAUCGUGAAUUGUCAAACAUUACUGUGUCUCCACAAUGGAGUCCAGAACUAUUAACUUGAUGAACAUAUAACUAUAUUCUCUAUAAACGUUCCUUUUUUUUGUUUUCUUCCAGCUGGAACAGACUGUCAGUACUUCCUGAAAACACGUUUUCCAUGAUGGUUGGUUUACGUGAAGCGAAUUUUGCCAACAACCUAAUCCAGUUUCUACCUUUAACAACCUGGAACCAUGCUCUGUCUACUGUUAAUACAAUUGAUGUGUCCGGAAACUUCCUAAUUUGUGACUGUCACAUCAAGUGGAUAUUAACCAACUUGUCCUCUACCACAAAACUACAUGGGGUUUGCAGUGCCCCCUCAAAGUUAGCAAAUAAACUUUUGAAAUACUCCGCUGGAAUCGCGGAGUGUUGAAACGAUUUACGUUCACUGGUGUUUGAUGUAAGCUUUUUGUUUAUCUGUAGCCAUUGUUUGCAGCUUUUUGUUCAUCAGUAGCCCUUAUUUUGCACACACUGUACACACACAGAGACAAAAACAAACAAUCCUAAAUCCGAUAAAUAAUUAUCAGUUUUCAUCAACGUUAUUUUUAAUCUUCAGGCACUGAGACACUGUUUUGAUGAACGUUCAGUUUUCAUCAACGUUAUUUUUAAUCUUCAGACACUGAGCCACUGUUUUGAUGAACGUUAAGAGUUUUAGCUGUAGGUUGAUGAUAUGGUACUUAUACCGUUACUUAGUAACGACACAA